This 447-nucleotide ribosomal RNA is filed under the name uncultured bacterium. Its description in RNAcentral is "partial 16S ribosomal RNA". It matches the Rfam family "Bacterial small subunit ribosomal RNA", at positions 329 to 792 of the family's 1533-position model. The record is from RNAcentral.
GACCAGACUCCUACGGGAGGCAGCAGUGGGGGAUAUUGCACAAUGGGGGGAACCCUGAUGCAGCGACGCCGCGUGGGUGAAGGAGCGUUUCGGCGCGUAAAGCCCUCUCGGCAGGGAAGAAGGAGGACGGUACCUGACUAAGAAGCCCCGGCUAACUACGUGCCAGCAGCCGCGGUAAUACGUAGGGGGCAAGCGUUAUCCGGAUUUACUGGGUGUAAAGGGGGCGCAGACGGCAUAGCAAGUCUGAAGUGAAAGCCCGUGGCUCAACCGCGGAACUGCUUUGGAAACUGUUAAGCUGGAGUACUGGAGAGGCAAGCGGAAUUCCUAGUGUAGCGGUGAAAUGCGUAGAUAUCUGGAGGAACAUCAGUGGCGAAGGCGACUAUCUGGCACAUAACUGACGCUGAGGAGCGAAAGCGUGGGUAGCAAACAGGAUUAGAUACCCGCGUA